UCUCCGUUGGUGAACCAGCGGAGGGAUCAUUACCGAGUUUGCAACUCCCAAACCCCUGUGAACAUACCAUUUGUUGCCUCGGCGGUGCCUGCUUCGGCAGCCCGCCAGAGGACCCAAACCCUUGAUUUUAUACAGUAUCUUCUGAGUAAAUGAUUAAAUAAAUCAAAACUUUCAACAACGGAUCUCUUGGUUCUG
This 195-nucleotide unclassified non-coding RNA is filed under the name plant metagenome. RNAcentral describes it as "partial contains small subunit ribosomal RNA, internal transcribed spacer 1, and 5.8S ribosomal RNA". The record is from RNAcentral.